ACAGGCAGCGCGAGUGGUAGCCGCGAAGACUGGGCCUAAAGCGUCCGUAGCCGGCUCGGUAAGUCUCUGGGGAAAGCCCACAGCUCAACCGGGGGGAUCGCCAGGGAUACUGUCAGGCUUGGGGCCGGGAGAGGCGAGAGGUACUCCAGGGGUAGGGGUGAAAUCCUAUAAUCCUUGGGGGACCACCUGUGGCGAAGGCGUCUCGCCGGAACGGCUCCGACAGUGAGGAACGAAAGCCGGGGGCGCAAACCG
Molecule: ribosomal RNA, 252 nt
Filed under: uncultured prokaryote
Description: partial 16S rRNA
Rfam family: Archaeal small subunit ribosomal RNA
Source: RNAcentral